This 715-nucleotide small RNA is filed under the name uncultured fungus. RNAcentral describes it as "eukaryotic LSU rRNA". The stretch from base 212 to 366 matches the Rfam family "5.8S ribosomal RNA". The record is from RNAcentral. Lineage: Eukaryota; Fungi.
GGAAGGAUCAUUACAGAAUCGUCAACGGGUUGUUGCUGGUCCUCAAACGGGGACAUGUGCACGCUCUGUUUACACAUCCACUCACACCUGUGCACCCUCCGUAGUUCUGUGGUCUGGGGGACCCUGUCUUCCUGCCGUGGUUCUACGUCUUUACACACACACUGUAAUAAAGUCUUAUGGAAUGUAUGUCGCGUCUAACGCAAUACAAUACAACUUUCAGCAACGGAUCUCUUGGCUCUCGCAUCGAUGAAGAACGCAGCGAAAUGCGAUAAGUAAUGUGAAUUGCAGAAUUCAGUGAAUCAUCGAAUCUUUGAACGCACCUUGCGCCCCUUGGCUAUUCCGAGGGGCAUGCCUGUUUGAGUAUCAUGAACACCUCAACUCUCAUGGUUCGCCGUGAUGAGCUUGGACUCUGGGGGUUUUGCUGGCCUGCGGUCGGCUCCCCUCAAAUGAAUCAGCCUCCCAGUGUUUGGUGGCAUCACGGGUGUGAUAAAUAUCUACGCUCGCGGUUGUCUGCCAGGUAACCUUUGGCGACAAAGGUUCGCUGGAGCUCACAGAUGUCUCUCCUCAGCGAGGACAGCUUUUUGAACGUUCGAUCUCAAAUCAGGUAGGACUACCCGCUGAACUUAAGCAUAUCAAUAAGCGGAGGAAAAGAAACUAACAAGGAUUCCCCUAGUAACUGCGAGUGAAGCGGGAAGAGCUCAAAUUUAAAAUCUGG